AGAAUCAACGCUGGCGGCGUGCCUAACACAUGCAAGUCGAACGAGAAAGUGGAGCAAUCCAUGAGUAAAGUGGCGACCGGGUGAGUAACACGUGACUAACCUACCUUCGAGUGGGGGAUAACCUCGGGAAACCGAGGCUAAUACCGCAUAACAUCGUGAGAUCAAAGCAGUAAUGCGCUGGAAGAGGGGGUCGCGGCUGAUUAGCUAGUUGGCGGGUAAUGGCCCACCAAGGCGAAGAUCGGUAGCCGGCCUGAGAGGGCGCACGGCCGACACUGGAACUGAAACACGGUCCAGACUCCUACGGGAGGCAGCAGUGGGGAAUUUUGCGCAAUGGGGGAAACCCUGACGCAGCAACGCCGCGUGGAGGAUGAAGUCCCUUGGGACGUAAACUCCUUUCGACCAAGACGAUAAUGACGGUACUGGUGGAAGAAGCACCGGCUAACUCUGUGCCAGCAGCCGC
Molecule: ribosomal RNA, 460 nt
Filed under: uncultured bacterium
Lineage: Bacteria
Description: SSU rRNA
Rfam family: Bacterial small subunit ribosomal RNA
Source: RNAcentral